RNAcentral lists this long non-coding RNA (1926 nucleotides) under Homo sapiens (human). RNAcentral's name for it is "HSALNT0386042". The record is from RNAcentral. Lineage: Eukaryota; Metazoa; Chordata; Mammalia; Primates; Hominidae.
AUCACAGAAGGAGGAUGGGCCUUAGACAGACAUCACUCUUUAGAAUCCCUGCAACUUUGAGCAAGUUCGUGAAUCUCACUAAGGCUCAGUUUCCUCCAUAAAAUUAAUCAAUAUCAGGGCCUCUGCAUUGGACAACUCCAGAGGGCACCAUUGGGGUUAUACCUUGUGUUUGCCUAACCUUCAUUGCAGUGGGCAGGUGCAUGCUUUCUACAAUGUCCUAAGGUCUAAAGGGGUAGAGUUCUGUGUGUGGCAUUUUAGGCCUGGAAAGGAUGAGAGUCUACAAAACCAGAGAAAUACUGCAGAGCUCCUAAAGUCCUUGGAAUGUCCUAAGUGGUGAGUUUAUGCUAAAGAGGUAACUUUUGGAAAACCUCUAAGGAUGGGGGGCUGGUUGCCAGGGGAGCCAACCAUGUGAUUAGAAGGUUGGAACUUUCACCACCCACCACCCUGACCUCCAGGGAAGGGAAAGUGGCUGGAAGUUGACUUAAUUUGCAAUGGGCAAUGAUUUCAUCAAUCACGUCUAUGUAAUGAAGCCUCCACAAGAAAAAAAUCUUAACAGAAGACCUUCAGAGAGCUUCCAGGUUGCUGACCACAUGGAGGUCAUGCCCAGAGAGGGUGUGAAAGCUCCACACCCCUUUUCCAUACCUUGCCCUACUUAUCUCUUCCAUCUGGCUGUUUCUAAGUUGCAUCCUUUAUAUUAAAGCAAUAAUGUUGUAAAUGAACUUUCUCUGAGUUCUGUGACCCAUUCUAGCAAAUGGUCAAACCCAGGAGGGAAUGGUAUGAACCUCUGGUUUACAGCCAUUGGUAAGAAGCACACAUGACAACCUGGACUUUCCAUCAACAUUUGAAGCGGGAGCAGUCUUGUGGGAUCAAGCUCUUAACCUGUGGGGUCUGCUACUAACUCUGAAUCCAAUGAACACAUGGACCCAACACUCCUUUGGCCAAGUUGAUGAUUCUCCACCAUUUAUUUGCCUGCCUCACUAUACACUUCUAGCAAGCCACUGCAAGGCUGCAUUGCAGCUAAGAGGAAGCCCUCCUUGAAGGCUGCACAGCAAGGAGUGUUGGCAGAGUAGCUGGGUUUCCACUGGGAGAGCACGAGUCAGCAUCAUGCUGGGCUCAAGCAUGGAUAUGCACUGCUGCUGCCAGAGCAUCAUAAUUUGCAAGCAUUUAUCGAGUACCCUUCAUCUAAUUUUCAUCCUGCGGAAACUAGAAAUUGCUACACUUGCACACAAUAAACUUCUGGCAGUUAGCCUUCUAAACUGGGACACUACCAUUUGGGAGGGAAAAGACCUUUCUGGUGGUUAAAGAUGGGGCUUCCAGUUACUGCAUUUGUUUUAAUACAGUCUAUUCCAUAGAGCCAUCGAUGGAGACUCAUUAUAUAACCUUUCGUGGAAAGCUUCUGACUUCUUUCUCAAUGCACAGUGCUUCACGUGACUUUUGAGUUAUAGCUGACUGCCCUAGCUCACAUUUUAGUGCCAGAAGAUCCCAGACCACCACCCAUGAUCCCAGGCUGGAGGAAGCAGCAGGCUAGCGGAAUUCAGGACCAAUGAGCCAGGAAAGAGGACCCAAUGCAGAGCUCACAUCCCACCCUCCUUCCCCCAUGACAAAGCACUGGCAAACCCUGCCAAAGAAGAAGCUUGGCUGCAAAGCAGUCUGGAACUGGACCCGGGAUAGAUUCACCAGGAGCUCACCACCACAGGGAAUGCUGCACUUUGACUGGACAGAAUGCAUCCUCCAUGCCCACAGAGCAUGUGCCCAGGAUGAAUCUCACUGUAUCCCAGUUCCUCAUGCUUGGCCCCAAACCUCUUUUUCACAGUAAUAAAGAAAACACACUUUACAAAAAGGCAGUUCAUCUAUGAACAUAUUGGCUAGGAUAACACAUCUUAGAGCUAAAUGUGUCACUGUAAAUGGACUCAUUUUAUAUCUCCA